Molecule: ribosomal RNA, 654 nt
Filed under: Salmonella enterica
Lineage: Bacteria; Pseudomonadati; Pseudomonadota; Gammaproteobacteria; Enterobacterales; Enterobacteriaceae
Description: bacterial LSU rRNA
Rfam family: Bacterial large subunit ribosomal RNA
Source: RNAcentral
GGGUUGUGAGGUUAAGCGACUAAGCGUACACGGUGGAUGCCCUGGCAGUCAGAGGCGAUGAAGGACGUGCUAAUCUGCGAUAAGCGCCGGUAAGGUGAUAUGAACCGUUAUAACCGGCGAUUUCCGAAUGGGGAAACCCAGUGUGACUCGUCACACUAUCAUUAACUGAAUCCAUAGGUUAAUGAGGCGAACCGGGGGAACUGAAACAUCUAAGUACCCCGAGGAAAAGAAAUCAACCGAGAUUCCCCCAGUAGCGGCGAGCGAACGGGGAGGAGCCCAGAGCCUGAAUCAGCAUGUGUGUUAGUGGAAGCGUCUGGAAAGGCGCGCGAUACAGGGUGACAGCCCCGUACACAAAAGCGCAUAUGCUGUGAGCUCGAUGAGUAGGGCGGGACACGUGGUAUCCUGUCUGAAUAUGGGGGGACCAUCCUCCAAGGCUAAAUACUCCUGACUGACCGAUAGUGAACCAGUACCGUGAGGGAAAGGCGAAAAGAACCCCGGCGAGGGGAGUGAAAAAGAACCUGAAACCGUGUACGUACAAGCAGUGGGAGCACCCUUUGGGGUGUGACUGCGUACCUUUUGUAUAAUGGGUCAGCGACUUAUAUUCUGUAGCAAGGUUAACCGAAUAGGGGAGCCGGAGGGAAACCGAGUCUUAAC